Molecule: long non-coding RNA, 503 nt
Filed under: Brassica napus (rape)
Lineage: Eukaryota; Viridiplantae; Streptophyta; Magnoliopsida; Brassicales; Brassicaceae
Description: long non-coding RNA (BNAP_LNC012514)
Source: RNAcentral
CAUCCUUGAGCUUGAGUGUGACGCACUGAGUGAUAGUAAGAUUCGACGCCGAGGUAGGAUCUGGAUUUGGUUCCAUGAUCUACUCACUGAACUCUGAUACCAUAUAGGUUAACAGAGAGAACAGAGCAAAGUCUCUUUCUUAAACUUGUAAGUUUAUUGCUUAACGUUCUUAUGAUACAUUGCAUGAUAUAUAAAGAGCAAACAGAGAAGGAUCUAGAUCCUAUACAGCUGUGACAUAAUCAGAUGGCAACGGAUAAGAGCGAAUAUCGAUUUCCCAGCUGUAGAGGAUGCUUUUCCGUACGUACCACACAACAACCUUGAGCUUUAGUUUUCACUAACGGUAACUCUUGUUUGUUUCUUUGCUGGUUACUGAUGGGCUUCACAUUUGCUUUCUGAUAAUGUAUCUGGGCCGUGCUAAUAUCUUCGCAAGGUUCUCAAUGUGAUGAAGAAGAAAUCUAUUGCGCUUCGCAAAGUUGACUCUAACAUUGGUGGCCACGUUGUCA